CCUACGGGUGGCUGCAGUGGGGAAUAUUGCACAAUGGGCGAAACCCUGAUGCAGCGACGCCGCGUGAAUGAAGAAGUAUUUCGGUAUGUAAAGCUCUUUCAGCCGGGAAGAAAAUGACGGUACCUUACCAAGAAGCACCGGCUAACUACGUGCCAGCAGCCGCGGUAAUACGUAGGGGGCCAGCGUUAUCCGGAUUUACUGGGUGUUAAGGGAGAGUAGAAGGCAGGGCAAGUCUGGAGUGAAAGGCGUGGGCUCAACCCCCGGACUGCACUUGAAACUGCCAGGCUGGAGUGCAGGAGAGGUAAGUGGAAUUCCUAGUGUAGCGGUGAAAUGCGUAGAUAUGAGGAGGAACACCAGUGGCGAAGGCGGCUUACUGGACUGUAACUGACGUUGAGGCUCGAAAGCGUGGGGAGCAAACAGGAUUAGAUACCCCGGUAGUC
Molecule: ribosomal RNA, 440 nt
Filed under: uncultured bacterium
Lineage: Bacteria
Description: partial 16S ribosomal RNA
Rfam family: Bacterial small subunit ribosomal RNA
Source: RNAcentral